AAACUGUGAAAAUAUUGGGGUCAUUGCUCAUUAAAAAAUCUCACACAGAAAAAAAAAAUCUAUUUUAAAAGAAAGUAUAAAUGUGUUUACAGGAUACCUUGUUGGAAUGCCUUUAAAAAAGAAAGGAUUCCCUUGGUUAGCUCAUCAGUCGUCCUGCAAAUGAAAGAGAAGUAUGGGAUCAAAAGGAAGUGUGCUGGACAAACAGACUCAGUUUCAGUUUAAGUUCAGUUAAAUAAAUUUUAUGUCGAGGCAGAUUAAAUUUGUCUUAACAUGAAAAACAUGUUGACUUUAUUAUUUCAGAGUGCAAAAUGUAGAAGAGAACCACUGGAUAUAACGGCAUAUAAUGAUUCUGCUUGUUCACAGGAGAUUGUGUUGGACCUAGAAGUAACGGGUUAGGAUGAGAAAAGUUUCCGGGAACACAUUAAUGCCAUCACCCUGGAGUUGCGUAAAAGCAACCCCAGUUAAUCUGAGGUCAAGAGCCGGAUGAAGCGCAUUCUUUUCCAAAGAGUACAGAUUAUGGAGAGGCCUGCAGCUGAAGUAAUGGAGCAGUUUCCUUUUCUUGGAGUGCCACAGCUUAUGCUGCAUGAAAUGACGAUUAGGUUUGGCACAGACUUGCCAAAGAACAUGGAAACAUCUCUAAAUGAAAUGGCCCCAAACAUCAUCAGGAUUGCAAAAGAAGUAUAAAUUGUAGUGCUAUUUAAUAGAUGUUUUAAUUGUUCAUGUAUUGGUUUUGUUUUUCCUCAUUUCAGAGAUACAUGUAAAAGUUAAGUACUGUAUAUGUACAUACGGUACAUAAACAAGCUUAUGUAUGUUUAUUAAAAAUUGAAAAUGCUUAAGUAAAAUAAUUAAAACUAAAUGAUUGAACAUAAUUAAACAUUUUAAAUGUAAAAUAAUUUAAAGUUUUGCUGUCUAAUAUAGAGUAUACAGAGGUGCAAUUUUAAAUAUGACACUAAUAUUUUUGUAUAAUGAAUUCAAUAAAUUUAAACUUUUUUAAUUUUCUGGAUUGGUUAUAUUUUCUUAUUCAAUAAUAAAUAACUCUUUCAAUAAUAAAGAAUCCUUAAAUGGUUCUAAAAAGAACCAUCUCACUUGGAUUCAAAGAACCAUUUGGGGUUCUUUUUAAUGAACCCAUUAAAAUGGUUCUAUAUAGAACCAUUUGGGGGUUCCAUAUAUGAAGCGAGUGAUAGAACCAUUUCUGGUUCUAAAUAGAACCUUUUGUUUUAAGAGUGCGUAAAAUGUUAUUGUUUGUCCUGAUCACUGAGUCUGAAGUUGUGAAUGUUAAGAGGAGCUGUGAUUGAGAAUAGAGACUGUGUGUGUGUGUGUGCUUUUCUUAAUGGUGUUUUCAGCUCAUGUACACCCAUAACCCACUCUGUUGCAUAGACUGUGAGUACAGAGGUGUUCUGUAGGUGUGUGUGUGUGUGUGUGUGUGUUGUACCUGUGCUAGAGGUCAGUUCUUCUAGGCAGAACAUGAGUUCAUGGGUCUGAUCCACUGAAAAGAUCACCUACACACACACACACAGGCCAGAUAUUACUAUAGUAUUCCAUCCAAACCUUACGUCAAAAAUGUGUGUGUGUGUGUGUGCUGUAUGUGCUUGUGCCAUGUAACAGUAUGUACAGUACGUGGUUUUAGUUUUGUGAUCUGUCCAGCUGCAUGCAGAAAUAAAGUGUUUAUUUCAAAGUGAA
Long non-coding RNA from Hemibagrus wyckioides, 1680 nucleotides. RefSeq lists it as uncharacterized. The transcript is spliced from 3 exons. Lineage: Eukaryota; Metazoa; Chordata; Actinopteri; Siluriformes; Bagridae. The record is from RefSeq and is a predicted model, not a curated record.